RNAcentral lists this ribosomal RNA (1012 nucleotides) under Escherichia coli. RNAcentral's name for it is "partial 23S ribosomal RNA". It matches the Rfam family "Bacterial large subunit ribosomal RNA", at positions 139 to 1191 of the family's 2925-position model. Lineage: Bacteria; Pseudomonadati; Pseudomonadota; Gammaproteobacteria; Enterobacterales; Enterobacteriaceae. The record is from RNAcentral.
UUCGACACACUAUCAUUAACUGAAUCCAUAGGUUAAUGAGGCGAACCGGGGGAACUGAAACAUCUAAGUACCCCGAGGAAAAGAAAUCAACCGAGAUUCCCCCAGUAGCGGCGAGCGAACGGGGAGGAGCCCAGAGCCUGAAUCAGUGUGUGUGUUAGUGGAAGCGUCUGGAAAGGCGCGCGAUACAGGGUGACAGCCCCGUACACAAAAAUGCACAUGCUGUGAGCUCGAUGAGUAGGGCGGGACACGUGGUAUCCUGUCUGAAUAUGGGGGGACCAUCCUCCAAGGCUAAAUACUCCUGACUGACCGAUAGUGAACCAGUACCGUGAGGGAAAGGCGAAAAGAACCCCGGCGAGGGGAGUGAAAAAGAACCUGAAACCGUGUACGUACAAGCAGUGGGAGCACGCUUAGGCGUGUGACUGCGUACCUUUUGUAUAAUGGGUCAGCGACUUAUAUUCUGUAGCAAGGUUAACCGAAUAGGGGAGCCGAAGGGAAACCGAGUCUUAACUGGGCGUUAAGUUGCAGGGUAUAGACCCGAAACCCGGUGAUCUAGCCAUGGGCAGGUUGAAGGUUGGGUAACACUAACUGGAGGACCGAACCGACUAAUGUUGAAAAAUUAGCGGAUGACUUGUGGCUGGGGGUGAAAGGCCAAUCAAACCGGGAGAUAGCUGGUUCUCCCCGAAAGCUAUUUAGGUAGCGCCUCGUGAAUUCAUCUCCGGGGGUAGAGCACUGUUUCGGCAAGGGGGUCAUCCCGACUUACCAACCCGAUGCAAACUGCGAAUACCGGAGAAUGUUAUCACGGGAGACACACGGCGGGUGCUAACGUCCGUCGUGAAGAGGGAAACAACCCAGACCGCCAGCUAAGGUCCCAAAGUCAUGGUUAAGUGGGAAACGAUGUGGGAAGGCCCAGACAGCCAGGAUGUUGGCUUAGAAGCAGCCAUCAUUUAAAGAAAGCGUAAUAGCUCACUGGUCGAGUCGGCCUGCGCGGAAGAUGUAACGGGGCUAAACCAUG